UACGUAGGGUGCGAGCGUUGUCCGUAAUUAUUGGGCGUAAAGAGCUCGUAGGCGGCUUGUCGCGUCGGAUGUGAAAGCCCGGGGCUUAACUCCGGGUCUGCAUUCGAUACGGGCAGGCUAGAGUUCGGUAGGGGAGAUCGGAAUUCCUGGUGUAGCGGUGAAAUGCGCAGAUAUCAGGAGGAACACCGGUGGCGAAGGCGGAUCUCUGGGCCGAUACUGACGCUGAGGAGCGAAAGCGUGGGGAGCGAACAGG
RNAcentral lists this ribosomal RNA (253 nucleotides) under uncultured bacterium. Its description in RNAcentral is "partial 16S ribosomal RNA". It matches the Rfam family "Bacterial small subunit ribosomal RNA", at positions 524 to 776 of the family's 1533-position model. The record is from RNAcentral.